GAAUGGAGGCUGGUCCAAGA
Molecule: microRNA, 20 nt
Filed under: Zea mays
Lineage: Eukaryota; Viridiplantae; Streptophyta; Magnoliopsida; Poales; Poaceae
Description: zma-miR166l-5p
Gene: zma-miR166l-5p
Source: miRBase by way of RNAcentral